RNAcentral lists this non-coding RNA (45 nucleotides) under Schistosoma haematobium. The record is from RNAcentral. Lineage: Eukaryota; Metazoa; Platyhelminthes; Trematoda; Strigeidida; Schistosomatidae.
ACCUAGUUGACGUGUCCAAAAUAGAACGAAACGCAUGUCCUAGAU